UGGGGAAUAUUGCACAAUGGAGGGAACUCUGAUGCAGCGACGCCGCGUGAACGAAGAAGGCUUUCGAGUCGUAAAGUUCUUUUAUAUGGGAAGAUAAUGACGGUACCAUAAGAAAAAGCCCCGGCUAACUACGUGCCAGCAGCCGCGGUAAUACGGAAGGUCCAGGCGUUAUCCGGAUUUAUUGGGUUUAAAGGGAGCGUAGGCUGUUUGUUAAGCGUGUUGUGAAAUGUAAGAGCUGAACUUUUAGAUUGCAGCGCGAACUGGCAGACUUGAGUGCGCACAACGUAGGCGGAAUUCAUGGUGUAGCGGUGAAAUGCUUAGAUAUCAUGACGAACUCCGAGUGCGAAGGCAGCUUACGGGAGCGCAACUGACGCUAAAGCUCGAAGGUGCGGGUAUCGAACAGG
This 404-nucleotide ribosomal RNA is filed under the name Verrucomicrobiota bacterium. RNAcentral describes it as "Verrucomicrobia bacterium partial 16S ribosomal RNA". It matches the Rfam family "Bacterial small subunit ribosomal RNA", at positions 355 to 776 of the family's 1533-position model. The record is from RNAcentral. Lineage: Bacteria; Pseudomonadati; Verrucomicrobiota.